This 308-nucleotide long non-coding RNA is filed under the name Neogale vison (American mink). Its description in RNAcentral is "Neovison vison (American mink) ST7 overlapping transcript 4 conserved region 3 (ENSNVIG00000002465.1)". It matches the Rfam family "ST7 overlapping transcript 4 conserved region 3". Lineage: Eukaryota; Metazoa; Chordata; Mammalia; Carnivora; Mustelidae. The record is from RNAcentral.
UGCUUGCUCUUCCUGUGGCAGUGAAGGCGAGCGUCCCUGAAAAGGUCACUGAGUCUAGUGCUGCUUUUAAGGAGCUUUGGGUAGCACAGGUCUUCUUCCUCAGGGAAGGUGAGGACACCAGCACAGAUUGGUGAGGCAGCCAGGAGCCCAGGGCUUCCAUGACUCAGGCCCAACUCUGGACUUUGUAAGAUUGUGGAAUCUGCUAAAAAUGUUCCAUAGUUGUUUUGGAUAUCUGCUUGACAUAUUCUCAAUAGCUUGGUUACUUAUGACUACUCUCGUAUUUCUAACCUCAUUUGAUCUAUUUUUUG